Molecule: ribosomal RNA, 408 nt
Filed under: uncultured bacterium
Lineage: Bacteria
Description: partial 16S ribosomal RNA
Rfam family: Bacterial small subunit ribosomal RNA
Source: RNAcentral
GACGAACGCUGGCGGCGUGCUUAACACAUGCAAGUCGAACGAAGUGGCGAACGGGUGAGUAACGCGUAAUCAACCUGCCCUUCAGAGGGGGACAACAGUUGGAAACGACUGCUAAUACCACAUACUGAAGGAGGAGACUGCGUCUGAUUAGCUAGUUGGAGGGGUAACGGCCCACCAAGGCGAAGAUCAGUAGCCGGUCUGAGAGGAUGUACGGCCACAUUGGGACUGUAACACGGCCCAGACUCCUACGGGAUGCAGCAGUGGGGAAUCUUCCGCAAUUGACGAAAGUCUGACGGAGCAACUCCGCGUGAGUGAUGACGGCCUUCGGGUUGUAAAGCUCUGUUAAUCGGGACGCGGUACCGGAAUAGAAAGCCACGGCUAACUACGUGCCAGCAGCCGCGGUAAUUC